This is a small nucleolar RNA of Meriones unguiculatus (Mongolian gerbil), 132 nucleotides long. NCBI's taxonomy places the organism in Eukaryota, Metazoa, Chordata, Mammalia, Rodentia, Muridae. The record is from Ensembl.
CCUGCCCCUAAGGGCACUAUGGGUGUGGCCACUGUGUCACUUGUGCAUCAGCUGGCAGCAGGGAGGAGAGAGGCCGAGUCUACACUCAGUGUUCCGAUCUGUGAACAUCUGAAUGACUAGUAGCCUAAUAUU